AUUAAUACAAAUUUACUUAACAACACAAAAUCAAAGUCGCAGUAGCUCGUAGUUAAAUACACACUAAAAUUUUUAUCAAACGGUUGACUACUUACAAUUAUUAAUUACACAAAUCAACAACAGAAGCCUAGUAACUUGGUUGAAACCUACUCCCUCAAACUCCGCCUUGAAUCCUGCACAAUCUAUUAGGGUAUGAGCAUUCUAAUGCCCAGUAGAGUACUGCCAAACCCCUCAAGGUCAACUCUCACAGUCAAACAAAGUGUCAUCCAUCAAACAACAGAAGAUACAUAAAUUAUGCAACCAUACAAGAUAAAUACAUUUGCAUAUGCGGUGAUGCCAUGAACUCGCUCCCUUCUGAUUCCACUAAUUCGUACCUUAGGGCAACAAGGCUGCAUGUCCCAUACCAUGCGUUUUACCACUGCGGCUCUGAAUACCCUAAAAUAUGAACUAGCACCCAUUCGUCCCUUAACCCAGUUUUCUUUUGUUUACGAAUUUCUCAACUUUCACUUUUCCUUAGAGGCUUUGCUCCCAUCACCUUAAUAUAUUCAAACCCUGCUCUUGUCACCUGAAUAUAUUCCACAUUUUUUUACUCAGAUAUAUCUAAGGCCUUCUUCCACUCCUUAGAUAUAUGUCAAAUGACACACAAAGCCUUAACACCAUUUAUGAUGCAUAUGUAAUCUAGCGCAAACAUCAUUUAUCUCUAUUGAAUAAUAAUACAGAUAAUAACAAUAAUAUUUCAAGCUCCAUCACAUGAAUAAUCUAUUCACCCAACAUCAAAAAUAAUAUCCAUGGAGAAACAUCGAUAAUAAUAUUCACAUAACAUCAAAUAAUAUUCAUCGAGGAAAGCAACAAUAAUAUUCAUAUUUAUAACAUCAUAUAUAAGCACGAAGAUUAAAAGUGACAUAGCCCUAUCAUCGGGAAAUCAAGAAAACCUAUCUCAUGUCCAGCCAGCUUAACCUUGUGCGGGUUCGUCCUCGAAAGUACGCAGAGUAGAACACCUUCAAAGAAUCAUUUACUUGAGAUGAUAGUGGCUAAUUUGAUCAACUGAAUGACAAGUAACAAGCCAUUUGAGAGAAAGUACACAUCUUUGGAUAUGUUAUAAAGAGGAGAAUUUGGAGUAACUAUCAUGAAGAAACCAUAGUGUUUUGAGCUUCCAAAAUGAGUGUUCUGGACUGAAAACAAGGGAAGGAACUAGGGUCGAAGACUAUAAACAAGUUCCACUCUAAAAGUUCCCGAGGUGGCUACAGAUGUCUGAUCAACCUAAAGUUUUGAUAUGUUAUAAUAGACAAAAUUCCGAACAACUUUGAUGAAGGAACCAAAGUCAUUUGAGUAUAGGAGAUCAUAGAAACAUAUUGAAACCGAGCAUACUACUGCAAAAUCAGAAAAUGGUAAACAUAUUGUGAUCAUACCAACUUUUCAGAGCCUGUGCUAGUCAGAUAGAGCUGAAAUUGGAAAAUGUUAUAGAAAUCACGUAAAUGAACAACUUUUAUGAAGGAAGUUUUCUCAUUUGAGGUUCCAAAAUUUGAGUUCUCGGCUGCUCCAAGGAAGUAACGAAUUUUGGAUUUUGAAGAGGAACAAAAGAAGAAUGAGGAAGAAAGUGACGAUACAAUGAAUGAGGAGUAAGAGAAUAAAUUCAUGAUUGACGAAUCUUAGGCUAGGUGACUCACCACUUUAGACUAGGUGACUCAUCCUUUCAUAAUGGCAAAUUUGAGCUUGAGGCAAGAGGGGAAGAAUGAGAGGAGGGUGGUUUGAUGCCAUCGACGUUUCAGUUUUUUGUUUUUUUUUGUUUUUUGCUUUUUUUUUUGUUGUUGUUGUGGGCCUACAAGGGUAUUUUGGUAAAUUUUCACAUAUAGGGGUAUUUUGGUCAUUUUGUCCAACUUGAAAUUAAACACAUUUAAUUUAAUAAUCUCCAUCCAAAAUCACUUGAUAAAAUACCCAUAUGUUGUAAAGAAGAAUAAGUAAAGAAGAAUAGGUGAAGCCCACAUAGCCAACUAACACCCACCAAACCUAACCACACACCCACCAAACCAAACCACUACUCAAUUGAUUGAAGAAUAUUAAUGAUGUUGUUGAUUGAAGGAUAUUAAUGAUGUUGUUGAUUGAAGAAUAUUAAUGAUGUUGUUGAUUGAAGAAUAUUAAUGAUGUUGUCUACCAAUUAUAUUGUGAGGUGAACAACCAAUGUCUUAGGCCUAUAAAUAGAUACCUCCAUCAAGAGAAGUUUACACAUAUAGAAGAGGAAGAGAAGGAAGAAUGAGGGUGAGUAAGUUGAGAGGAAAGAGAGCAAGAGAGAAAUUCUCCAAGAGAGAAAAUUGAGUGAGCCAUACAUAUUGUAAACACAAAGUUGUAGCCCUAUUAUUUUACAUAGUGGAAAAGUUACUGCUGCUGCUCUCCAGGGAUGUAGGCAUAGCCGAACCUCGUUAA
RNAcentral lists this long non-coding RNA (2421 nucleotides) under Prunus persica (peach). Its description in RNAcentral is "long non-coding RNA (PPER_LNC006812)". Lineage: Eukaryota; Viridiplantae; Streptophyta; Magnoliopsida; Rosales; Rosaceae. The record is from RNAcentral.